CCUACGGGUGGCAGCAGUGGGGGAUAUUGCACAAUGGGGGGAACCCUGAUGCAGCGACGCCGCGUGGGUGAAGGAGUGCUUCGGCAUGUAAAGCGCUAUCGGCAGGGAAGAAACAAGACGGUACCUGACUAAGAAGCUCCGGCUAACUACGUGCCAGCAGCCGCGGUAAGACGUAGGGGGCGAGCGUUAUCCGGAUUUACGGGGUGUAAAGGGUGCGUAGACGGGCAAGCAAGCCAGGGGUGAAAUCCCGGGGCCUAACCCAGGAACUGCCCUUGGAACUGCAUGGCUGGAGUACGGGAGGGGCAGGCGGAAUUCCUGGUGUAGCGGUGAAAUGCGUAGAGAUCAGGAGGAACACCGGCGGCGAAGGCGGCCUGCUGGACCGCGACUGACGUUGAGGCUCGAAAGCGUGGGGAGCGAACAGGAUUAGAUACCCCGGUAGUC
This 441-nucleotide ribosomal RNA is filed under the name uncultured bacterium. RNAcentral's name for it is "partial 16S ribosomal RNA". It matches the Rfam family "Bacterial small subunit ribosomal RNA", at positions 338 to 795 of the family's 1533-position model. The record is from RNAcentral.